UUUCCGGUUGAUCCCGCCGGACCUGAUUGCUAUCGGAUUGGUACUAAGCCAUGCGAGUAAGUGUAGCAAUACACUGCAGACGGCUCAGUAACACGUGGUCAAGCUAACCUAUGGACGUGGAUAACCUCGGGAAACUGAGAAUAAACCGCGAUAGAUCAUGAUGCCUGGAAUGGCUCAUGGUCGAAAUAGUUUACUGCCGUAGGAUGCGACUGCGGCCUAUCAGUUUGUUGGUGAGGUAAUGGCCCACCAAGACUAUUACAGGUACGGGCUCUGAGAGGAGAAGCCCGGAGAUGGGUACUGAGACACGGACCCAGGCCCUAUGGGGCGCAGCAGGCGAGAAACCUUAGCAAUGUGCGAAAGCACGACUGGGUUAGUCCGAGUGAUUCCUGCUAAAGGAAUCUUUUGCCGGUCCUAAAAGCACCGGUGAAUAAGGGGUGGGCAAGUCUGGUGUCAGCCGCCGCGGUAAUACCAGCACCUCGAGUGAUCAGGACGUUUAUUGGGCCUAAAGCAUCCGUAGCUGGCUUUGCAAGUCUCCGGUUAAAUCAACCUGCUCAACAGAUUGGCCGCUGGAGAUACUACAAGGCUAGGGAGUGGGAGAGGCAGACGGUAUUCGGGGGGUAGGGGUAAAAUCCUCUGAUCCUCUGAGGACCACCAGUGGCGAAGGCGGUCUGCCAGAACACGUUCGACAGUGAGGGAUGAAAGCUGGGGGAGCAAACCGGAUUAGAUACCCGGGUAGUCCCAGCUGUAAACGAUGCAAACUCGGUGAAGCAUUGGCUUAAUGCUAAUGCUGUGCCGCAGGGAAGCCGUUAAGUUUGCCGCCUGGGAAGUACGGUCGCAAGAUUGAAACUUAAAGGAAUUGGCGGGGGAGCACCACAAGGGGUGAAGCCUGCGGUUCAAUUGGAUUCAACGCCGG
RNAcentral lists this ribosomal RNA (913 nucleotides) under uncultured archaeon. RNAcentral describes it as "bacterial SSU rRNA". It matches the Rfam family "Archaeal small subunit ribosomal RNA", at positions 1 to 921 of the family's 1478-position model. The record is from RNAcentral.